This 404-nucleotide ribosomal RNA is filed under the name uncultured bacterium. Its description in RNAcentral is "bacterial SSU rRNA". It matches the Rfam family "Bacterial small subunit ribosomal RNA", at positions 355 to 774 of the family's 1533-position model. The record is from RNAcentral.
UGGGGAAUAUUGCACAAUGGAGGAAACUCUGAUGCAGCGACGCCGCGUGAGUGAAGAAGGUCUUCGGAUCGUAAAACUCUGUCCUUGGUGACGAAAAAAAUGACGGUAGCCAAGGAGGAAGCCCCGGCUAACUACGUGCCAGCAGCCGCGGUAAUACGUAGGGGGCGAGCGUUGUCCGGAUUUACUGGGCGUAAAGGGUGAGUAGGCGGUAAUAUGUGUCAGAUGUAAAAGGCUAUGGCUUAACCAUAGUUGGCAUUUGAAACUGUAUUACUUGAGUGCAGGAGAGGUAAGUGGAAUUCCUAGUGUAGCGGUGAAAUGCGUAGAUAUUAGGAGGAACACCAGUGGCGAAGGCGACUUACUGAACUGUAACUGACGCUGAGUCACGAAAGCGUGGGUAGCAAACA